ACGUACACUCCUACGGGAGGCAGCAGUGGGGAAUAUUGGACAAUGGGCGCAAGCCUGAUCCAGCCAUGCCGCGUGAGUGAUGAAGGCCCUAGGGUUGUAAAGCUCUUUCACCGGUGAAGAUAAUGACGGUAACCGGAGAAGAAGCCCCGGCUAACUUCGUGCCAGCAGCCGCGGUAAUACGAAGGGGGCUAGCGUUGUUCGGAUUUACUGGGCGUAAAGCGCACGUAGGCGGACUAUUAAGUCAGGGGUGAAAUCCCGGGGCUCAACCCCGGAACUGCCUUUGAUACUGGUAGUCUUGAGUUCGAGAGAGGUGAGUGGAAUUCCGAGUGUAGAGGUGAAAUUCGUAGAUAUUCGAAGGAACACCAGUGGCGAAGGCGGCUCACUGGCUCGAUACUGACGCUGAGGUGCGAAAGCGUGGGGAGCAAACAGGAUUAGAUACCCCAGUAGUCCCA
RNAcentral lists this ribosomal RNA (452 nucleotides) under uncultured organism. RNAcentral's name for it is "partial 16S ribosomal RNA". It matches the Rfam family "Bacterial small subunit ribosomal RNA", at positions 329 to 797 of the family's 1533-position model. The record is from RNAcentral.